RNAcentral lists this unclassified non-coding RNA (327 nucleotides) under Hevea brasiliensis (rubber tree). Lineage: Eukaryota; Viridiplantae; Streptophyta; Magnoliopsida; Malpighiales; Euphorbiaceae. The record is from RNAcentral.
AAACAAGAACCCAUGAUCCGCGUUGAUGGCUCCCUCUUUCCCAAUGACCCCAACGUAACACCAACCAUAAACCCAAGAUUCAAGAAUCAUUACAACCCAACAAAAAGCUACUCCCUUUUCUUUUUUCGGUUUCUGAGAAAACAAGAGCUUCAGGCCAUGGCCUCAAUGCGUCGUGUUUCUCUUUGCAAGGCACAAGGGUCCCCUUCUUUUUCCACCUCAUUGUUAUCAUCGCCUACGGGUUCUCUUCCUAUCCGAGCUCCUAUUACUCCUGACGAUGAUUCUUCUGAUUUUGAAUCUAACGGUCAUACUGACCAUGGUUAUAGUGAU